UUUGCGUUUAUAAUAUCUACUUCUUUUAUGCAACCUAUUGAAGCAUGUGAUUUUUUUAUAUUUAUUGUUGGGCAUGAUCCGAAACUUCGUUUUUCUAUCAAUAUCGGGUUCCAGGUAACAAACAGAUCUCUGAACUUCUUAUUUUCCUUCACGGCUUUGCUUAUUUUCUUCAUAUGUAACUGGGAGAGCUUACUAUCUUGCACUUGACCUCCUUCCGCAUUCCUACCUAACAAGCAGGGCCAUUGUUUUAGUGGAGAAGUACUGAGCUCCUGCUGCUUGAGAACAGGAAUGUCCUUGGUUUCUUGAAGAACAAUAGCCUGCGAAGCUUCUGGUGAAGGGUCCAGACUUCCCGAAGGAAAGCAACAUAUACUGCAAAUGUUCCUGUUAUUAAUGCAGUUGAUGAGCCAAUGCGACAUCUAGUUAUUUACGUGAAAGGUUCUUAUUGAUGGCAUAUCCGACAUGUUAUACGGAUCUCCAAAGUUGCUACUUGCUGCAGCAAACUUCCACUGAUAAAAACAAAAAGGUCGAACCUCCGCUUCAAUCUCCUCCAAAGAGGUAAGCUUCAAUAUAGUUUCCUCAUAUCCAUAAAAUGUUAACUAUUCUUACAUGUACUUUUACACAAACCACAUAUUUGUACUUCAUUACGUAACGGACAAUAAGAUUAUUACAGUUCUACCUUUCAUUUAACAUGCUCAAAUAAAGACCACUUAAAAACAGAGAUUCCACGGAUCAAAAAGAACCACCAGGAAUCAUAUAUGGAGCCAUACGAAACUGAUUAGUUUUAGCACUCUUCUACAUUUUGUCAUCUUUUGUUAUCGAUCAUACUUAUCCUUUUGUAACUAAAUAUACUGCCCGCACAUAUAAAUAACCAUUCAACCGUAGUACUGGAUACUAAGAUCAGUUGAUGUUGUCUAGCUUAUAAUUAUUUUGGAUAAUGGCCCACUUAGAUGUAUUACAAUAUCUCCUUUCUACAUACAUUUAAAAAAAUCAUACAAACUAUCGCGCUGCCACAGAUUUCUCAUUUUGUUUAAAACUAUUUUUCAACCGCGCAACAAUAAGAAGUAAGCACCACUUUCUUCAUACUCAAACUUCCAAGAGUAAUUGGUUUGUUGUGAAAUACCUUUUUGUGAGUUUCCUUUUGAUUAGUUUGUAAAACAAUUUUUACACAUAAGGAAUCAAGUAAGCGGAGAACAAAUUCAACGCACGCAUCUUUCAGUUUUCAUCUAUUUUCCUUUGUGAUCUCGACUUCUAUGCAUUCCCUUAUCUAUCAAGUAUUUAUAGUCUGUUUAUUAGGACUGCAUCAUAAUUGGUUUGCGCUAUUUACAGAAUCAUAUAUUCACACUUCUCUGUCCUAAAUUUAAUAAUAUAUCGAGCCAUCAAGUAUUUACAGUCUGAGGACUGAAUCAUAAUUGGUUUGCGCUACUUUAAAUUUACAGUAUUUAUAACUAGCAUUAUAAAUAGUGAAAAAUAUAGCUGCACUAUAUACACUCUAACACUUGGCAGAUAAUUGCAUAAGCUACCAUGUUUAUCAGUCGGAAAGAUAGCAACCAGUAAGGAACUUCCACGAUGUUGACAUACUUCAUUUUCAAAGUGUCUAUAUCCUUCUCGCUGCUCAAUGCUAAUUAUAUUUUCUAAUUCAUCCUUAUGUUUAUGCCUGACAGUCUUGCUUUGACUAUGAUCAUGACUAAGUACAAGGGUGAAAACUAUAUUCGGUUUUUCA
Zea mays is the source of this 1720-nucleotide long non-coding RNA. RefSeq lists it as uncharacterized. Lineage: Eukaryota; Viridiplantae; Streptophyta; Magnoliopsida; Poales; Poaceae. The record is from RefSeq and is a predicted model, not a curated record. The transcript is spliced from 4 exons.